UACAGAGGUCUCAAGCGUUGUUCGGAUUCAUUGGGCGUAAAGGGUGCGUAGGCGGCGCGGUAAGUCGGGUGUGAAAUCUUGGAGCUUAACUCCGAAACUGCAUUCGAUACUGCCGUGCUUGAGUUCGGGAGAGGGACGCGGAAUUCCAGGUGUAGCGGUGAAAUGCGUAGAUAUCUGGAGGAACACCGGUGGCGAAGGCGGCGUCCUGGACCAAUACUGACACUGAGGAGCGAAAGCCAGGGGAGCAAACGGG
This 253-nucleotide ribosomal RNA is filed under the name uncultured bacterium. RNAcentral's name for it is "partial 16S ribosomal RNA". It matches the Rfam family "Bacterial small subunit ribosomal RNA", at positions 524 to 776 of the family's 1533-position model. The record is from RNAcentral.